This 664-nucleotide long non-coding RNA is filed under the name Pongo abelii (Sumatran orangutan). RNAcentral describes it as "lincRNA". The record is from RNAcentral. Lineage: Eukaryota; Metazoa; Chordata; Mammalia; Primates; Hominidae.
AGAUCUGGCGACUUGCUUAAAUUUCAUCAGCCUCACUUCUAUGGACUCUCAGAGCUGAUUACCAACUCCUACCACUGUUAACCCUCAUCCAGGAACAAGCUUAUGUCUUUAACAUUCUGAGUGGGCUUCAGCAUCCUUGCAUAUGUUCAAUUCUUAAAAACCUGUUGAAAUAAAAGAUCAGGAGACAUAGGAGGGAUGCCAGAAGACAGCGUGGCCUCACGUGUACCAGCUCUCUGCUCUCCUUUGCCUUGGGACGUUCCAUCCCUGGAAGUUUCCCUGCCCACAUCUUUGUAGAGAGUCCAUUCUCCAAGCUUCAGUGUGUCAUCUGUUAGGACUAUGACCCACCUGGUACAUUACCUCAGGGCAUUCAUUUCAGGCUCCUUCUAAGUGGUCAAGGCACCCUUGGAAAUGCAAUGCUAUAUCUCAAUGGGAUUUUCCAGUACAGAGAUUCUUUUCAAUAACAUAAUUGUGGAUACACACCACUCCUGUAGUGCUGCACUGAUGAGGAAACUGAAACAGAAAAUCCAGAGUAAAUUCCACCAGGCCACACAGCAAGGUCUGAUAGAGCCAGGAGAGACUUUAUGAAAUCCAGACUCUCACACUAAUGCUCUAUCAGCUAGACCUCCAUGUGAGUCUCCCCAAUGUAGGUAGGAAGCACUUUCCC